Salvelinus fontinalis (brook trout) is the source of this 2573-nucleotide long non-coding RNA. RefSeq lists it as uncharacterized. The transcript has 5 exons. NCBI's taxonomy places the organism in Eukaryota, Metazoa, Chordata, Actinopteri, Salmoniformes, Salmonidae. The record is from RefSeq and is a predicted model, not a curated record.
GAGAGCACCACAGAGAGAGACAGCAGCAGCAAACCACAGACAGCACUACUACUGUCCCCCUCUCUCUCUCUUCUCUCUCCACUGCUACAGUCCCCCCCUCCACCUUUCCUCUCCACUACUACUGUCCCUCUCUCCACCUCUUCUCUCUCCACUGCUACAGUCCCCCCCUCCACCUUUCCUCUCCACUACUACUGUCCCUCUCUCCACCUCUUCUCUCUCCCCUGCUACAGUCCCCCCCUCCACCUUUCCUCUCCACUACUACUGUCCCUCUCUCCCUCUCUUCUCUCUCCCCUGCUACAGUCCCCCCCCCCUCUACCUUUCCUCUCCACUACUACUGUCCACCUCUUCUCCACUUCUUCUCUCUCUGUGUCUCCCUUGUUCACCUUGUCUGGUCAGUGUGGAUGUGAGAUGGGUUGUGGAUAUUCCUCAACGACCAGCACGGCUGGAGGAGGUCCAGCUGAAGCCUCCAGAGAAGAAGUCACAGAGGAGUCUGCACAAGAAGAAGAAAAAAGGAUGAACUAUGGAGGUGUGUAUGUGGGACUACCAGCAGACCUGAGCACUAUGCCUCCUAUCCAGAUGGGAACACACCAAGAUGAGUGAAGCAUCAUUGAAACAACUUUCACUAAAGGUAUGAUGUCAACAGCCCCGAUCUCAAUAUCAGAUGUCAAUAUCCUAUGUUAAACUCUCUGCCUCAAUCUCAGAAGUUCAUCUUUUGGGACUCUCACACCCACUACAGAGAGAGAGAGAGAGAGAGGGAGAACUGUCAGGAUAAUGAUGUCAGCAAGAAUGAAGGAAGGAAUUGUUCUCUUUGAUCUCUGAUUGGCUCCAUGGGACCCAGUAGAACCUCUAGGGGACCAAUCAUCUCCCUCUCUCUCUCCAUAGGAACUGAACUGGGAUCAGUUUCUAAGGUGAAUGAUCAGACCAUGGGUCAAAUGCUCACCAUGGAUGUGACUGCUCAGGAAUCAGCGUCGUGUUAAUAGGCACAAAACGGAAUAAAAAAGUCCAAAACGAAAUGGAAGUGGGAGGUACUAUCUGAACUUGUUCAAUAAGAAAUACUUGUUUUCAUUUGUGUUAAACAAAAUUUGAAAACAGGCACCCUAAUGAACACGACCCAGGUCAAAGGGCAUCACGGAUGUUGGAGUCGGCAUUCACCACUCAGGAUCAUGAGACAAGGCAACCUUCUACUCAGAACUAAAUGUCAGACUGGAUCAGAUAGGCCUAUUCAGAUCUCAGCAAUACCAAGAAACAAGACCUCUCUCAGAACUCCUAUUCAAAUAUUUCUUGAUUUUUUUCUCUCUGUCUCUGAGUCAAUAGUUCUCAGAAAUUAUCUCUAUAGGAGCUGGAUCAAAUGUUCCCCAUUUGUAUCAUUGGCCGAAUAGAGAAUAAUCUUUCUUCACUCAAUAUGUAGUCAUAUGUACAGUCGUGGCCAAAAGUUUUGAGAAUGACACAAAUAUUAAUUUCCACAAAGUUUGCUGCUUCAGUGUCUUUAGGUAUUUUUGUCAGAUGUUACUAAGGAAUACUGAAGUAUAAUUACAAGCAUUUCAUAAGUGUCAAAGGCUUUUAUUGACAAUUACAUGAAGUUGAUGCAAAGAGUCAAUAUUUGCAGUGUUGACCCUUCUUUUUCAAGACCUCUGCAAUCCACCCUGGCAUGCUGUCAAUUAACUUCUGGGCCAGCCCAUUGGCAGCCCAUUCUUGCAUAAUCAAUGCUUGGAGUUUGUCAGGAUUUGUGGGGUUUUGUUUGUCCACCCACUUCUUGAGGAUUGACCACAAGUUCUCAAUGGGAUUAAGGUCUAUCGAUGUUUUGUUCCCCGAGCCACUUAGUUAUCACUUUUGCCUUAUGGCAAGGUGCUCCAUCAUGCUGGAAAAGGCAUUGGUCAUCACCAAACUGUUCCUGGAUGGUUGGGAGAAGUUGCUCUCGGAGGAUGUGUUGGUACCAUUCUUUAUUCAUGGCUGUGUUCUUAGACAAAAUUGUGAGUGAGUCCACUCCCUUGGCUGAGAAGCAACCCAUUUACAUUUACAUUUAAGUCAUUUAGCAGACGCUCUUAUCCAGAGCGACUUACAAACCCCACACAUGAAUGGUCUCAGGAUGCUUUACUGUUGGCAUGACACAGGACUGAUGGUAGCGCUCACCUUGUCUUCUCCGGACAAGCUUUUUUCCGGAUGCCCCAAACAAUCUGAAAGGGGAUUCAUCAGAGAAAAUGACUUUACCCCAGUCCUCAGCAGUCCAAUCUCUGUACCUGCAGAAUAUCAGUCUGUCCCUGAUGUUUUUCCUGGAGAGGAAAGGGCUUCUUUGCUGCCCUUCUUGAUACCAGGCCAUCCUCCAAAAGUCUUCGCCUCACUGUGCGUGCAGAUGCACUCACACCUGCCUGCUGUCACUCUUCAUAACAUUCUGGAGUAUAUGCAAAUUGCCAUCAUACAAACUGAGGCAGCAGACUUUGUGAAAAUUAAUAUUUGUGUCAUUCUCAAAACUUUUGGCCACGACCGUAUUUUUUCUUUUCUUGAAUGUAUUCCAACAUGUUAACUAUUUUCACAACAUAGUUUCCACAUUCUUAAAUAAAUCUUGUGGAAAUGCA